This 883-nucleotide long non-coding RNA is filed under the name Homo sapiens (human). RNAcentral describes it as "non-protein coding lnc-ARHGAP20-52:1". The record is from RNAcentral. Lineage: Eukaryota; Metazoa; Chordata; Mammalia; Primates; Hominidae.
UGCAAAUGGAAAUUUUAGGGAAAAAGAAGAAAAGCAAAGGUCCAAAAAGCAAUGUCAGAGGAGAAACCCGCUCUCUGAAAUAGUGGCUUCUCAUGCAAUGACACAGAACGUCCACAUGCUAAAUCAUGAAGAUCAUGACAAUACGGUGACUGCAUCGGAAACAGAGUAUUUCGUUAAUAGAAAAUUAUUAGGACAAUUGGGUCAGGAAGACACUGCUGUCUAGAAUAGUCGGGAUACAGCGAAGAUUGCUGUUUUACUUCAGCAAGAACAGGGUGGAUGCCGCAUUGUAUUUGUUUGCAUCUGUCCUUGAGUCAUCCUUACGCCCACGGUCAUCACCACCAUGUAGCUAGUGACAAUAAGCCUGUGAGAUAGGCAUUCUGAUCAUUUCACAACGGUGUAUGAAAAAGACUCUGAAAGAGAAUAAUUUGCCCAAAUUUUACAUAUUGUGUGUCUCAUAUAUAUAGUUACCAUAGUAAUACGUGCAGGACUGAGAGUCAAACACAGCCCUGGAGUACCUGACAGCUGUCUGCAAUCUCUCCCAAUCUGUGCAGGAAUUUCACAGAAGCAGAGCAUUUCCCCACAAUGAUCUAAGUUUUCCAGCCUCAACUAUUAAAGAGAUAAAAAUUUCAAUUUCUGUGCAUUCAAAUCUAUUCAAUUUAUUUUUACAAACAAAAUCCUUAUUCCUGUUGGCUAUGUGGCCCCGUACAUUCCAGGCCAGCUAAAGAAGUUAACUUGAAGAGGGAUGUGUGGACCCUCAUUCUCUGUGCCCCACUACCUGUCAGGGUGUCAUGGACAUCAGGGCUCAAAGUUUUGUGCAUCCUAGUAAACACCACUGCACCAAUGAGUCUUUUUGAUACAUUUUUUUUCUGAGACGGAGUCUCAC